AACCGUCGCCCCAUAGUCUGGGAUACCACUUGGAAACAGGUGCUAAUACCGGAUAAGAAAGACAGAUCGCAUGAUCAGCUUUUAAAAGGCGGCGUAAGCUGUCGCUAUGGGAUGGCCCCGCGGUGCAUUAGCUAGUUGGUAAGGUAAAGGCUUACCAAGGCGAUGAUGCAUAGCCGAGUUGAGAGACUGAUCGGCCACAUUGGGACUGAGACACGGCCCAAACUCCUACGGGAGGCAGCAGC
Molecule: ribosomal RNA, 242 nt
Filed under: uncultured Lactobacillus sp.
Lineage: Bacteria; Bacillati; Bacillota; Bacilli; Lactobacillales; Lactobacillaceae
Description: partial 16S ribosomal RNA
Rfam family: Bacterial small subunit ribosomal RNA
Source: RNAcentral